GAAAAGGCAAGAAUGGGAACAGCUGUCAGAGUACAAUUAUAGAUCAGUACAGUGUGCUGCUCGAUGCUUGUGUAUAAAUGGGGUUUAUUUUUAGACAGGAGCAUGACUUAACCAAAGUCUUCCCAAGGAGGGCUUUAUUGCCCAUGACUUAAUUACUUAGUGCUUAGUCACGCACAGAACCCCUUUUUUCAAAAGACUUUAAUUUGAGUCCAAAUUAAUCAUAAUAGUACAAUGUGUGUGACAUUUAACAGGAUGCUGGCAAUACCGUCUUUGGUCACUGAGGAGCAGCAUUCUCUUCCUGGUGAAGCAAAGAAUGAAAGAUGAUCCAGGCUGACCAUGGUGGAAAAAUAAGGCUCGGCCCGGUGCUGUCCCGCUAAAACCUUUGACCGUGACCUCUGCUACACUUGCAGCUGAGCUUUUGAAAGCACCUGCGCAGCUCUGGCGCCCAUGGAGAAGAUUCCAACUACCAGGAUGUAUUCCAAGAAAAAGUCCUAGUGUGGCCAAAUUAGCGCCGGAGCCCACAUGUUAAGCGGUCAUGCUUAACACCAUCUCCCAGCAGUGAAUCAGAGCCUCUGUGUCAAAGCAGUGCUCCCAAAAGGCUCCCAGGAAAUCCAUCUCCGGUCAAAACCUCCUCCCACCGUCUCCCCACAGCCCGGGCCACUUGAUACCACCACAGGACGGGCUUGAAGGUAUGGAAAGAAAGCAGCUGGCAGCGGGAUCAGGAGGAAAGGCGCAGCCACAGACAUACUUCGCUGCCUCAGCUCCAGGAACAGUGCGACAAACGACACUGAUGAACAUUAACGCGCCACUAAAACUUACCGAUUUCAAACUAAUCUUGUAAAUAAAUAAAUAAAAACUUA
Nerophis ophidion (straightnose pipefish) is the source of this 860-nucleotide long non-coding RNA. RefSeq lists it as uncharacterized. The transcript is spliced from 2 exons. The record is from RefSeq and is a predicted model, not a curated record. NCBI's taxonomy places the organism in Eukaryota, Metazoa, Chordata, Actinopteri, Syngnathiformes, Syngnathidae.